RNAcentral lists this ribosomal RNA (460 nucleotides) under uncultured bacterium. RNAcentral describes it as "partial 16S ribosomal RNA". It matches the Rfam family "Bacterial small subunit ribosomal RNA", at positions 338 to 795 of the family's 1533-position model. The record is from RNAcentral.
CCUACGGGCGGCAGCAGUGAGGAAUAUUGGUCAAUGGACGAGAGUCUGAACCAGCCAAGUAGCGUGAAGGAUGACUGCCCUAUGGGUUGUAAACUUCUUUUAUAUGGGAAUAAAAUGUUCCACGUGUGGGAUUUUGUAUGUACCAUAUGAAUAAGGAUCGGCUAACUCCGUGCCAGCAGCCGCGGUAAUACGGAGGAUCCGAGCGUUAUCCGGAUUUAUUGGGUUUAAAGGGAGCGUAGGUGGAUUGUUAAGUCAGUUGUGAAAGUUUGCGGCUCAACCGUAAAAUUGCAGUUGAAACUGGCAGUCUUGAGUACAGUAGAGGUGGGCGGAAUUCGUGGUGUAGCGGUGAAAUGCUUAGAUAUCACGAAGAACUCCGAUUGCGAAGGCAGUUCACUGGACGGCAACUGACACUGAGGCUCGAAAGUGUGGGUAUCAAACAGGAUUAGAUACCCCAGUAGUC